Molecule: long non-coding RNA, 1781 nt
Organism: Neopelma chrysocephalum (saffron-crested tyrant-manakin)
Lineage: Eukaryota; Metazoa; Chordata; Aves; Passeriformes; Pipridae
Exons: 4
Source: RefSeq, a predicted model, not a curated record
UCAGCAAGUGCUUAUAAUAAGCUUUCGGAAAACGUAAUGAGGAGGAUGAUUUCUCUUCAGUUCUUGGCUCUGUGGUAGAACACAACAAUAGGGUGUCAUCAGAAUAAAAGUUUGAAUCAGGACAUCUCAUUUGAUUCCUUUCAUUAGUGUUUAGGGAGCAGACGGUUGUUGUGACAGCUGGUCAGUAGUGAUUCAAUUAUGUGCUCCAUUCUCUGGACUUCAGUUCGAGAUGUCCUUUGGCAAGCUGAGCAACUGCUUGAUAGAGGAUGCAAAGGACAUGACUGAUUUUGCUAAAUUUGUCAUGCAGCAUGCCUUUGAAGGUGCACUACAAGCUGUGGAACAUCCAUUUCACCAAAGGUUCCCAUUUAGUUCUCCUCCCUCUUGCGUAGUGAAAGUGAUCUGUAACACAUGCACACACCACUCAGCAUGUGAAAUUGUAUAGGCCAAAAUGAGAGGAAAUCCAGACUCACAAGUGCUAAGGACUCAGAGAUGGAUAUGUCCUGAUGUAAUGUCACUUUGUUAACGAUCACAUCUCAAGAGAGGGAACUCGUAAAGGAGCAUUUCUCUGAGAAUAUCACAUCAGGCCUGCAAUUGUACAGGAAAAGUCAUAGAGGGUCCCCCAAAGAGUUCCAGUAAUAUCACUAAGAUCAGAUGCCUUAGGAUGUUUAGGGCGGGAAUCGCUGUGGCUUACCAGGAGACACCAGGUGUGAUGACCCCUCUGCAAGUAUGCACAGACAUUCAGUAUGCAGGUAAAAUCAUCAUCCUCAAGAAAAAUUCAGGCGGAAGCACCUUACCACCCAACAGGCUUUUAAGCAUAGAAUCAGAAUCCUACUGGAGAAGUUUGCACUAUGAAAACAGUUACAAUAUGAAGUUGCUCACAGGCAGGUAAAAGCCAUCACAUCUACAGAUGCGGACAAAGGUACUAAUGUCCAUGUGAUUUCCAUAGUAUUCUUAAUUAGCUUGGAAGGUACAUCAGACUGGCAAGAUGACUGCAAAAGAAUAAUUUUUCUACCCAAAGCAUAUAGUCUUUGGAAAAACUGUUCAAUUCCUGGUUUUCAUCUGCCUUUAAUAACCUUAGUGAGCUGUUUAAAAGUAAAUCUGUGAAUCAAAUUUAUUUUGUAAUUAAAAAGUGAGUUUUAAAUAUGAUUUGAUUAAACAAAGCUCCUCUUUCCAUCUAAGGUUUCAAGUGAAAUUCUGCCUUCUUACACAGACCACAAAAUGAGAACCUUGUAAAUCAAAAUAAUACCAUGAAGAGCAGUAUUUCUUAACAACACUUAUGUGAUAGGAAGAAUGGCCAACUUUUUGGAAAACUUUAUUAUUAAAAAGCCUGAAACCUUCUUCAAAAGAACAAUUUGCCUCUGUAUGUAUUGGAUGAGUAGUAAAAUAUUUUGCACCUGACAUGAUUCUCUAUAUAUUUUAGAUCAAAAAUUUAGUAAUCUAGUUAAAAAGGAGCAUGCAGACAUUUUUAAGGAUUAAAUCACACUCAUUGGGAAAAAAUAUAUUUAAAAAAUCACUUUUAUCGGCAUCAUGAAACGUAAUACCAAUUGUCAUUCACACACAUACACACACACCUUUCUUUGUACUACUGUUCUUUCUUUGUACUACUGUUUGGGUUUUUUAUCCCUUACUCAUUUCACUGUAAUUUGGCACCAAACAACACAACUGCAUUCAUUGUUCAAAGCCAUGCUCUUUUACUUCACCUUCAGAGGCACAAGCAUGAGGCCCUCCUGCAGUCUUCCAUGCCUUUCUGUUCCACACUGGAAAGGAAAACACACUAACAU